GCAAAACGACACCUAAUACCAAUUUAUGAGGAACUAUGGCGGUUGCAUACCGUAAGGAACAAGCGUCAGGAAGUCCGAGAGUCUGAGACGGAGACGGCGAGAGGUCAGUUUGGACACGGUGACAGAUUGGCCAGAGCACAAAGGGGACGAUGGGGAGGAACGGUCAGCAGAGACCCCCGGCAGACGAAGGUGACGGACACACGGAGGCGCGGGCCGGGAAGGGAGCGCUCGAAGAGAGGCGGGAUUAAAGGUGCAGAGCGAA
Anguilla anguilla (European eel) is the source of this 262-nucleotide long non-coding RNA. RefSeq lists it as uncharacterized. Lineage: Eukaryota; Metazoa; Chordata; Actinopteri; Anguilliformes; Anguillidae. The record is from RefSeq and is a predicted model, not a curated record. The transcript has 3 exons.